RNAcentral lists this ribosomal RNA (259 nucleotides) under uncultured archaeon. RNAcentral describes it as "partial 16S ribosomal RNA". It matches the Rfam family "Archaeal small subunit ribosomal RNA", at positions 722 to 982 of the family's 1478-position model. The record is from RNAcentral.
CUACAUUAGAUACCCGUGUACGUCCCAGCCGUAAACUAUGCGCGUUAGGUGUAUCGGUGACCACGAGUUACCGAGGUGCCGAAGGGAAACCGUGAAACGUGCCGCCUGGGAAGUACGGUCGCAAGGCUGAAACUUAAAGGAAUUGGCGGGGAGCACCACAACAGGUGGAGCCUGCGGUUUAAUUGGACUCAACGCCGGGAAGCUCACCGGAUAGGACAGCAGAAUGAUUGCCGGGCUGAAGACCCUGCAUGACUAGCUG